AAAUUGAAGAGUUUGAUCAUGGCUCAGAUUGAACGCUGGCGGCAGGCCUAACACAUGCAAGUCGAGCGGUAACACAGGGAGCUUGCUCCUGGGUGACGAGCGGCGGACGGGUGAGUAAUGUCUGGGAAACUGCCUGAUGGAGGGGGAUAACUACUGGAAACGGUAGCUAAUACCGCAUAACGUCGCAAGACCAAAGAGGGGGACCUUCGGGCCUCUUGCCAUCAGAUGUGCCCAGAUGGGAUUAGCUAGUAGGUGGGGUAACGGCUCACCUAGGCGACGAUCCCUAGCUGGUCUGAGAGGAUGACCAGCCACACUGGAACUGAGACACGGUCCAGACUCCUACGGGAGGCAGCAGUGGGGAAUAUUGCACAAUGGGCGCAAGCCUGAUGCAGCCAUGCCGCGUGUAUGAAGAAGGCCUUCGGGUUGUAAAGUACUUUCAGCGGGGAGGAAGGUGUUGAGGUUAAUAACCUCAGCAAUUGACGUUACCCGCAGAAGAAGCACCGGCUAACUCCGUGCCAGCAGCCGCGGUAAUACGGAGGGUGCAAGCGUUAAUCGGAAUUACUGGGCGUAAAGCGCACGCAGGCGGUCUGUCAAGUCGGAUGUGAAAUCCCCGGGCUCAACCUG
Molecule: ribosomal RNA, 624 nt
Filed under: Enterobacter roggenkampii
Lineage: Bacteria; Pseudomonadati; Pseudomonadota; Gammaproteobacteria; Enterobacterales; Enterobacteriaceae
Description: bacterial SSU rRNA
Rfam family: Bacterial small subunit ribosomal RNA
Source: RNAcentral